AGAAUAAUUAGUUAUUUUUACUUCUUUCAGCUGUGUAUUCUUAUUACAACCAAGGCAUUUUACCAGAGCAAGGCAUAGAAGAUUCAUUCAAAAAAGCAACACUGGGAAGAUAUGGGAGCUGUGGCCUUGAAAAUAUAUGCUUAUGGAAAAACUGGGAAAGUAUAGGUGAAGGUGAAGGACAAAAGGAAUGUUAUAAUCUAUGUAGCCAAUAUUUGACAACUAGUCAUAACAAACAUUUAACUGUGAAAGGAGACAAAGAAUAUAGAAUAUUUCAGAAGAAGCCUCAGUUUCUGUCAGCUGCUCCUACAGAACCAUGUAUUCCUAUGAAUAAAUAUCAACAUAAAUUUUUGAAAUCUGUCUUUUGUAAUAAAAAUCAGAUAAAUUUUAACCAUGACUCAAAUAUUAGUAAACAUCAUAGUACUCAUUUUCUAGAAAACUAUUACAAUUGUAAUGAAUGUGAAAAAGUAUUUUACCAAUCCUCAAAGCUUAUUUUCCCUGAAAAUAUCCAUAUUCAAGAAAAGCCUUACAACUCUAAUGAAUGUGGUGAAACUUCUGACCCAUUCUCAAAGCUUACUCAACAUCAAAGAAUUUAUAUUGGAGAGAGCUCACAAAGAUGUAAUAAAAAAUGUAUAAUAGUCUUUAGUCAAUCACAUCUAAAGGGACAUAAGAUAAUUAACACUGGAGAGAAAUCAGUGAAAUAUAAAGAACGUGGCAAAGCUUUUACCAGGGGCUUACAUCUUGGACAUCAGAAAAUUCAUACUGGAGAGAAACCUUACAAAUGUAAAAAAUGUGACAAAGCCUUUAACAAGAGUUCACACCUUGCUCAACAUCAGAGAAUCCAUACUGGAGAGAAGCCUUUCAAGUGUAAGGAAUGUGGCAAAGCUUUUAACAGAGGCUCAUACCUUACUCAACAUCAGAGAAUCCAUACUGGAGAGAGAGCUUUCAAAUGUGAAGAAUGUGGCAAAGCCUUUAACAGGGGGUCAUACCUUACUCAACACCAGAGAAUCCAUACUGGAGAGAAACCUUUCAGAUGUAAGGAAUGUGGCAAAGCCUUUAAUAGAAGCUCAUACGUUACUCAGCAUCAGAGAAUGCAUACUGGAGAGAAACCUUUCAAGUGUAAGGAAUGUGGCAAAGCUUUUAACAGAGCUUCACACCUUACUCAACAUCAGAGAAUCCAUACUGGAGAGAAACACUUCAAAUGUAAAGAAUGUGGCAAAGCCUUUAACAGGGGCUCACACCUUACUCGACAUCAAAGAAUCCAUACUGGAGAGAAGUCUUUCAAUUGUAAAGAAUGUGGCAAAGCUUUUAUCUGGGGCUCACACCUUACUCAACAUCAGAGAAUCCAUACUGGAGAGAAAUUCUUCAAAUGUAAAGAAUGUGGCAAAGCUUUUACCAGGAGCUCACACCUUACUCAACAUCAGAGAAUUCAUACUGGAGAGAAACCUUUCAAAUGUAAAGAAUGUGGCAAAGCUUUUAACAGACGCUCAACCCUUACUCAACAUCAAAUAAUUCAUACCAGGUAGAAACCCUGCAAGUGUAAAGAAUGUGCUAAAACCCUAAACUGGUGCUCACACCUUACUCAACAUUAGAAAAUCAAUACUGGAUAGAAAUCCCAUAUGUGUAAUGAUUUUUGAAACAUCAAAAUGAAGUCUAAAUAAAAAUCAGAAGUGUCACUUUAGAAAGAACUAAGGUGCUAGCACUUCCGUAAAUUACUCUGAAUCAGUGUGUUUAUUAUAACAAAUAAUUCAAACUCAAUUAGAUAAUUAAAUUGUAUGUUUAAAAAGAGUGACGACAUUGAUGGAGAGGCAUAAUUAUCUUCAAUGUUCACUUAUUUUUGUAAUCACAGUAUUCAUGAUUGAGAAAGUAUUAUUGAUGUAAUUAAAUUCAAAUUAACCUUUUUUUUCCCCACUGUGGUUGAUUAUUGCUGUCUCUGACAUGAGAGUCCCUUCUACGUUAGGUAGGCAUCAUUCACAUGUCUCAUUCACAUGUCAUCAUUCACAUGUCUCAUGACAUCAUUCACAAGUUUCCCAUGGAAGACUAAGAGCAUUGGCAUAUAGGAUGUAUGAUGAAAUCUAAAUGGAGUUGCUCUUUUUGUUUGACUUACAACACUGAAUAUAAGUCAUAUAUGAGUUAGGUGUUCAGAAUAUUAUUGUUCUGCAUUAAAGUGUGAGACAGAAACACUCUGAGUUUUAGAUAUGAAUAGUUUUACCAACUACCCAUUAAAAAGUCUUGCUAGUCCAUUAAUAUUCUAAUGUAUCUUCAUAGCAGCAAGUUAGAAGUCCUGAAUAUUACUGUGAUAACAAUAAAGAAAUCACAAAUAUCAGAGAGUGGUGCAAAUAACUUCUCUCUGGUAGAACAUAGAUUAUUAAUUCAAUCCUGUAAAUACUUAGGCUCAGUUUAAGAAAAGAGAGAACACAUUUUUUUAACAUAGGUCAUGGUAUCAGAAUAAGAAUGCUUUUUGAAUGUUUGCAGUCUGUAAUUUUGAUGAUUGAGGAAACUGGAUUUUGAAAUGCUUUAUUCAGUCUGUAAACUUAAUUUUUUUAAGAAUAAAAUGAAAUGUCUUUUAAUUUGUUAACACUGUUGCGUAUUGAAUAAUGUCUUAUCCUGACAAAAAUGUUAACUUAUUCCACCUUGCUCAAGAUUCCAGGUAGUAAAUGGUAAUGAUAUACUAUCGGGUAUGUCUAGUUCAUGCUGUCUUUAGCAUUUUUUUACCCUUAGUGGUAUUAAACUCCAAAUAGUUUGGAGAAUGUUGGUUCCAUAAGUUAUUACUUGUUACUCUAACAAGUUCCCCAAGGUGUGUUGAGUAGUUAAUUAGCCCUUAGCUAUUUUUGCCAAACAUUAGGUUAUUAAUUUAAAAUUGUUUGUUUUUAAUGUAGGUGUUUAUUGCUAUGAAUUUCUCUGAACAGUUUGCUGCAUCUCAUGUUUCGAUAUGUCAUAACUUCAUUUUCAUUUAUCUGAAAAUAUUUUCCAGUUUCAUUUUUUCUUUAACACAUUAAUUAGGAGUAUUUUUAAUUUCCAUAUAUUUGUGAGUUCCCCCCAUUUUCUGCAUUCAUUUAUUUUUAAUUUCCUUUUACUAAAGUCAGGGAAAAUACUUUGGAUUAUUUUGAUCCUGUUAAUUUUAUUGACGUUUGCCUGCUGUAUGGCCUAGCAUAUGGUCUAUCCUGGAGAAUGAUUUAUGUGUACUUCUAAUUUUGAGUGGAAAAUUCUAUAAAUUUGAGAAUUCUAUCAGUUCAUAUUUGUUUACAGUGUUCAAGUGUUAUGUUUUCCUGUUGAUCUUCCCACUUUUUCUGCCCAUUAUUUACAUUGGAGUAUAGAAGUUUCUAUACUUCUGAUAAACUCCAAAUAAUGGAUUUGAUUAUUUAAUCUAUUUAUAGCCUGUAAUAUUAUCAGUAUAGUUGAAUUUGCAUCAUUUUGCUUUCUAUUUUUAUGUCUCAUGUAUUUUUCUUUAUUCUUCCUUUGCUGCUUUCUUAUUACUUUCCAUGUAAUCUUUUAAUUUAUAUAAUUGUUCAUGUUUUUGAAGUUACUUCCUUGUUUUCUCUAGCCCUUAUAUACCUUAUCAGAAUCUGCUUUAUAUUUAUAUUAAUUCCAAUGAGAUAUAAAAUAUUACCACUAUAUAGCUUUUUUCCCCCAAUUUGGAUUGAAUUUUUAAAAUAUUGUCUUAAUUUAGUUUUAUUGUUUUAUUAAAAAAGCUAAACUUAACAAAAUUGGUUGUAUAUUAGUUUAGGUGAGGUUGUUUUGUAAUGAGAAAAUAAUUUACAACAUAUAGAGAAUAAAUUAUUAUUAUUUUAAAAAGUACUCUACAUUUUGUAUCCUUACCAUUUCCUUUGAUAGUUUAAAAUUGUAAUUCUCUAAAUAAGAGAUAUAUUCAUAAAUGUGACUUGUAAAUGUUGAAAUUUAUAUGUUUGCUUUUUCUGCAUUCAGUAAGGGUAGUAGUUUCCAGCAUCUGUGCCUCUUUAAAGUGAAAGACAGGGGCAGGCGUAGUGGCUAAUGCCUGUAAUCCCAGCACUUCGGGAGGCCCAGGUGGGCAGAUCACCUGAGGUCAGGAGUUCGAGACUAGCCUAGCCAACUUAGUAAAACCCUCUCUCUACCAAAAAUACAAAAAAUUAGCUGGGUGUGGUGGUGGGCUCCUGUAAUCCCAGCUACUUGGGAGGCUGAGACAGGAAAAUCACUUAAACCUGAGAGGUGGAGGUUGCAGUGAGCCAAGAUCAUGUCACUGCACUGCAUGCAGCCUGGGCAGCAGAGUGAGACUCCAUCUCUAAAUAAAUAAAUUCAGCCUGGGCAACAGGUGAGACUCCAUCUCUAAAUAAAUAAAUAAAUAAAUGAAUGAAUGAAUGAUAGGAUGGAAUUAAAAUAGUUUGAAAACACAAAUUAACAAAAUGGUGUUGACAAAGAUUGUUCAUUUGUGGUCUACCAGGGUAUAAAAUUCUCAAAACACAUAAUCAGUAGGAAACCUCUUUAUUCCUGAAUAUUAGAGAAUAUUAUAUGUCUUAAAAUUAUUCAUGUUGAAAAGCUCUGCCUUUCAUGCAUUUAGGAGAAAAAGUCAGAGGGCAGGAGGUUUAUGUAGACUCUGGUCUGUGCCUGAUUUGGGGAAUGGAAAGACUCGACAGAAGAGGCCAGGUCAGCCAAGCAGGGCUCUGUUGCGUGCAAGAUUAACUGCUGGUUUGUCUUUGCAGAGCUCCACGCAGAACAUCAUCAGAGAACUGAUGGACACUUCAUCUCCCUGGGUGAGGGGCAGGUGUACCAUGCUGUCAUGGCCAUUCCUGCCUCGAUUGGGGUGUGGGUGUAGAGAUGGUCUCUAUAACCAGGGCCCAGACAUGGCUGAGAAGGCCUUCUGCCAGGACUCCACCUUGAUGACUCACAGGACUUUGUGCCUUGGCUUUCCCUAUUGAGUGACCCACAGUUUUAAUCCAAGGGACCCUGAGUCUGUUUCCUUCCUUCAGCCCCACCAUUUCACCCCAGCACUGUUCAGGUGUAAAAUCGGCUUUCACAUAUUUGUAAGAAUAUCUGGGAAAAUUAUUUAUAUUUUACUUUCACUUCAUGUUAUGACCAUGAGUGUUUUUGCAUUUGCUAGGGCUCAUUGUUUUAAUUGGCCCCCCUUUAUCCCUCUGUGUGCGGAAAUAAAUCAGCCCUAAAUCUGGAUGAGACCUGCAGGUGGACUCCAUCAGUGCAGGCGUGGUGGGGCAGCAGGAGGAUCCCGUGGUGCCCACCUUCCAGAGCUGCCACCUCUUUUACCUCCUGAUCUUCCUUCCUGUGCACCUAGAGAGGGUUCACCCCCACCCAACAGCUCCUGGACCUGCUGCCCAAAAGGUAAGUGCUCCAUCCCUCCACAGCACAAGGGGGACUCAGCCACCUAUUAUCUGUGUCUUGGGAAAGUCCCUUCACAUUUGUGGGCUUCAGUUUGCUUCUUUGGAACUGGGGUUCUAAGAAGUCUAACAUGAUAUGAUUGUUUCAAGAACUAAAUGAGAUAAGCUAUGGAAAGUACUUCAGACUUGGCCUUGUAGAAAGCACUGCUGAGGGAAUAGAUUGGUUAUUCAUAUUAUAAAACUAUUUAAAACUCUAGAAAACUAUAGUAAGAUAUAAGAUUAUAAAAAUAUCAAAAUUAAGAUAUUGACAGUAAUAGAAUUAACCUACUCAUCUAUUUGCAUUUUACCAGAUUAAUUUUUUCUUAUGUGUGUGUGUUCUGUGCAAUUUUAUUACAUGUGUAGGUUCACCUACCAGAAGAUUAACUCGUUUUCCUCUUAUAACCACAUCCGCUUCCCUUCUCCCCACCAUACCUGCUCUGAUUCUGAUUCUUUGAAACCAUUAAUUUCUAUUUCUGCAAAUUUGUCAUUCCAAUAAUGUUAUAUAAAUGAAAUCAUAACCUGUGCAACCUUUUGUAAUUGGCCCUUUUCCUUCAGCAUAAUUCCUUGGAGAUUCAUCUAAAUUGGUUUAUGUUUUAGUUUGUUCCUUUUGUUAUUGCUGUGGGUUUUCAUGUGUGGAUGUUACCAUGAAAUACUGUGUGUAACCCUUCACUCUUUCAAGAACAUAUUUGUUGUUUUCAGUCAGUGUGUGGCUAUUAUGAAUAAAAGUGCUAUGUACAUUCAUGUACUAGGUUUCAUGUGAAUACAUGUUUUCAUUACUCUGGAAAAUAUGUCCAGGAUACAAUUCCUGGCUCAUAGGGUAGUUACAAGUUUAACUUUAAUAGAAACUAGCACUCUGUUAUCCAGAGUGACUAUCAUUUUACAUUCCCAUCAUCAAUGAAUUUCUGUUUUUUCAAAUCCUCUUAGCCAUACUGACUGAUAUGUAUUGAUAUCACAUUGUUUUAAUGUACAUUUUUCUAAAGGAUAAUAAUGUUGAACUUUAUUUAAUGUUCUCAUAUAACAUCUGCCUAUUAUCUCUGAUGAAAUGUUUAUUCAUGUCUGCAUGUUUUCUAAUUGUAUUUGUUUUCUUGCAAGUUUUGAGAGUUCUGUUUAUAUUCUGGUUACUAGCUCACAUAGGCAAUAAAUAAGUUUUUUUUCCACAAAG
This 6504-nucleotide small RNA is filed under the name Pan troglodytes (chimpanzee). RNAcentral's name for it is "retained intron". Lineage: Eukaryota; Metazoa; Chordata; Mammalia; Primates; Hominidae. The record is from RNAcentral.